GGGAGAAGGUGUGACGUUUCUUGGUCAUAGGAGGGAGUGUGAUCUGACACCAGAGGACUUAAUAUAACAUUGCAGUGUUAACAUCUUCACUGGCAGAUUCAUGGACUUUCCCCCUCCUGAAUGCAUUUCAACACCUUGAAAUGAACGAUGCCUCAUGUCUCUGCAGGGUGGACAUAGCUCUAACUCUCUGAAGCUGAGUUGGACAGGUGAAACAUCCACAGUCUUUCUUGACCUGAAUCAAGCUCAGAGUGACAGUGUUUAAGAUUAUAUGUCAAGUUCUGUGUGAAAUGAGAGACCAUGGGGAUUCAUUAUUGCUGGAGUUGACGGUAUUGCAGUUUUAUAACCAUCUAAUAAAUUAGCAUUUAAUACUGAGAGAUUUCAUCUUAAACUCAGAGGAUUGCUUUGUUUUAAAGAAGAUUUUUGCAAGGAGAAGCAAUGGAAACCAUUCAGAAAAUGUGGGAGAUAAAAAUCCUAUUCAAGAAAACGGAUCUUGGAUCUUUGCAUUCACUUGAUUUGUCAGAAUAUUAUUCUGUGCUAAAAAAUAGAAGGGAUUAAAUGUUAAAAAUCACUGAGGCACAA
RNAcentral lists this long non-coding RNA (579 nucleotides) under Homo sapiens (human). Its description in RNAcentral is "HSALNT0376465". The record is from RNAcentral. Lineage: Eukaryota; Metazoa; Chordata; Mammalia; Primates; Hominidae.